RNAcentral lists this ribosomal RNA (361 nucleotides) under Bifidobacterium catenulatum subsp. kashiwanohense. RNAcentral describes it as "partial 23S ribosomal RNA". It matches the Rfam family "Bacterial large subunit ribosomal RNA", at positions 2567 to 2925 of the family's 2925-position model. Lineage: Bacteria; Bacillati; Actinomycetota; Actinomycetes; Bifidobacteriales; Bifidobacteriaceae. The record is from RNAcentral.
GGGGGUUCGGCUGUUCGCCGAUUAAAGCGGCACGCGAGCUGGGUUCAGAACGUCGUGAGACAGUUUGGUCUCUAUCCUCUGCGCUCGUUGGAAUCCUGAGGAGGCCUGCCCAUAGUACGAGAGGACCUGGGUGGACGGACCUCUGGUAUGCCGGUUGUCGCGCCAGCGGCAUGGCCGGUUGGCUACGUUCGGGAGGGAUAACCGCUGAAAGCAUCUAAGCGGGAAGCCUGCUCCAAGAUUAGGAUUCCUUGGCACUUCGGUGCCUGUAGCCCGCAUGUGGAACACGUGUUCGAUAGGCCGGAGGUGGAAGCCUUGUGAGGGGUGGAGCCGACCGGUACUAACGGGCGAUCGCGGCACACUU